RNAcentral lists this small nucleolar RNA (108 nucleotides) under Mus pahari (shrew mouse). RNAcentral describes it as "snoRNA (MGP_PahariEiJ_G0034452.1)". It matches the Rfam family "Small nucleolar RNA SNORA70", at positions 28 to 135 of the family's 135-position model. Rfam says of the family: snoRNA U70 seems to be exclusive to mammals and is a member of the H/ACA class of snoRNA which contain H (ANANNA) and ACA box motifs. Lineage: Eukaryota; Metazoa; Chordata; Mammalia; Rodentia; Muridae. The record is from RNAcentral.
CUGUAGAGUUAUACCUUUGGUGUGCGAUGGCUGCAAAGAGCAGCCUCCUUGGUAGUGUAUGGAGCCUAUUGUCUAUAUGGGUUGCCUCAAGAGACCUUGGCGACAGUU